UGGCUUUAGCAGCACAUGUACUAAAAUUGUAAUGAUACAGAGAUUACAUGACCCCUGUGCAAGGAGGACAUGCAAUUUUUGAAGGGUUCCAUUAUUAU
Otolemur garnettii (small-eared galago) is the source of this 98-nucleotide small nuclear RNA. NCBI's taxonomy places the organism in Eukaryota, Metazoa, Chordata, Mammalia, Primates, Galagidae. The record is from Ensembl.